Molecule: ribosomal RNA, 253 nt
Filed under: uncultured bacterium
Lineage: Bacteria
Description: partial 16S ribosomal RNA
Rfam family: Bacterial small subunit ribosomal RNA
Source: RNAcentral
UACAGGGGGCUCGAGCGUUAGUCGGAAUCACUGGGCUUAAAGGGUGCGUAGGCGGCUCGUCAAGUGCUUUGUGAAAUCCCACAGCUCAACUGUGGAACAGCAGGGCAAACUGACGAGCUUGAGGCAGGUAGGGGCCGGAAGAACAGUAGGUGGAGCGGUGAAAUGCGUAGAUAUCUACUGGAAUGCCGAUGGGGAAGCCGUCCGGCUGGGCCUGUCCUGACGCUGAGGCACGAAAGCGUGGGGAGCAAACGGG